GCUGGACCUUAUCCAUUCAGUUCCCUCGAUCCAUUUCUCUCAGCUCUACGAAAAAUCAACCCCAGAUCCAACGCGCACUAGCCCCAAAUCUCGACGACCGCCGUUGCCGCAAAUUCCAGUGACGCCGGCGACCUCCGCGUCCCACAUCCCAUCCUCUCUCUCUCUUGUUCCAAGCCGCAUGACCUUCACUCCGUUUUUGUUGCGAGUCAAGCACGGGAGCUGGAACCACCUGCGGCUCGUGCCGAGUCGUCGGUGCACCGGCUACCGCCUGAUCCGGAGUUGAACCAGCACCGCGAGGUGUUGCAACCGGAGCUGGAACCGGCGAACUUCAGAGCUACCAACCGUGCAGCCGGCGAAUAAGUUGCAUCCACACCGACCAGGUCUGGAAUCGGACGAGCAGGCAAGUCGUUUUGCUGGAACCGGCCUUUUGUUUUGCUACAACCGACAAAGUUUUUGCUGCUUCGGCGAGGUGUUUCAUUGCGACAGUCAGCGGCGACGGCGGUGAUGUAUUUUGUUGGAACUGUAUUUGAUUUUUGCUACUACCGGUGACAGUGGCUUUUUUGCUGAUGAAUUUUGUUUUUUUUGCUGGAACAUGGUGGUGGGAGCUGAUGAUGCGUCAAACCAGAGUUGGACGAUGAAGGCGAUGCUACAACCUUCAUCAGUAGAUGCUACAACCUUCAAUGGCGGGAGCUAUAAGCAGCGAUGGCGAGAUGAAAAAGCUAUGACCAUGGAGUCGAUUUGCUCGGACGGGGGACGGCGGUGGUAGCGGAGCUGCAACAGCGGCUGGUGGUGGAGAUGGGACGGUGUGCCCCCGUGCUGCAACCAUGGGGCGGUCAGCGCGGCGAUAGCGACCUCUGGCGCGCCGGCACAAGCAAACCGACGGCGAGCGCGGAUGAGGAGGAGCGCAACCGGAUGAGGAUGAGCGAUUGCGCUAGGCUCUGUCCCCUUUUCUUUUUUUCCUUUUUGUUUAGAUGAACGAGAUCGUACGGUUUAAAAGUGACGUAUCGUGCAGUAGCGCAGCGACCGGCCCAAAUUUGGGCCGGCGCACCGGCGCCUAUCACUCGCCUUAUGAUAAAGGGAAAAGAGAGUAUAGAUUGUCAACUCGUAUUUGCA
Molecule: long non-coding RNA, 1113 nt
Organism: Triticum dicoccoides
Lineage: Eukaryota; Viridiplantae; Streptophyta; Magnoliopsida; Poales; Poaceae
Exons: 2
Source: RefSeq, a predicted model, not a curated record